UCCUCCGUAGCUCAGUCAGUAGAGGAUGAGUCUCUUAAUCUCAGGGUCAUGGGUUGGAGCCUCAUGUUGGGCAAA
This is a non-coding RNA of Podarcis lilfordi (Lilford's wall lizard), 75 nucleotides long. NCBI's taxonomy places the organism in Eukaryota, Metazoa, Chordata, Lepidosauria, Squamata, Lacertidae. The record is from the annotation of a GenBank genome assembly.